UUUCUUUCCCUCUUUCUCCCCUUCACUAUCUUUAACCUUUUGCCUUCAUUUCCCCUAUUACAUUCCAUUAGAAAAUAAAUUACAACUACCAACAAUAAAUUUUGAUCCAAAUGCCUUUGUAAGGUAAUAGAUACAAUCUUUAAAACUUUAUUUUAGUCCUUAUCUUUAUUGUAUGUAAAAUUUAGAUUUAUCUCAAUCUACCCCUCUUUAUUGAGCUUGUUCAGGCUGCAAAAACUUUGGAUUUGAUGCAUGGGGACUUGUAAGCAUCUAUAUAGUAUAGUACAUGUACUAUAUAAUAGGGGUGUCAGCACCAUAGAGCAUUAAAAUGUGGGGAGCAGAAGUGGCGCAAUAAGGAAAAUGAUUGAAUAGAGUCGACGAGUAUAGCAAAGUUAUUGGGAUUGAAAAGAGAGAUUAAGCAUGCAUGGGUUAAGUUGGGUGACUCAUUGUUAAUUUGUUUUCGGCACAAGCCAAUUAGCAAGAGCAUGUGUCACUAUCAAACCUCAUUUGUAGGAGGAAAAUGGGGAAUAUCAUAUAUGUAAUUUUUUUUAAUAUAAUCGAUGU
RNAcentral lists this long non-coding RNA (561 nucleotides) under Medicago truncatula (barrel medic). RNAcentral describes it as "lncRNA gene48826". The record is from RNAcentral. Lineage: Eukaryota; Viridiplantae; Streptophyta; Magnoliopsida; Fabales; Fabaceae.